UUGUUAUUCCAUUUAUGAGGUGUGAGUCCUCUCUUUGCA
This 39-nucleotide transfer RNA is filed under the name Diporiphora bilineata. RNAcentral's name for it is "partial tRNA-Tyr". Lineage: Eukaryota; Metazoa; Chordata; Lepidosauria; Squamata; Agamidae. The record is from RNAcentral.